GAAAGAAUCAAAGUGCGUGAGUUUUAGAUUAAGCAAUAAGUAAAUGUCAAUCCAGAUUGGUCCUUAAUAUCUGACAUUGUAUAUUUUAUGCAGUUGCAUGCUUUUGUGCAAUUUGAAUCCAUCAAUGUAGCUGAGAAAACAGUUGAAGAGCUAAAUGAUGAGGGGAACUAGAGAAGUGGCCUAAGGGUUCGUUUAAUGCAUAGACACAGGGCAAAACCCUCUCAAGCAUGGGGAAGAAGGGACAUGAUGGAGAAGAACCCUGGGAAGAAGAAGAUGCUUCUUUAUCUGUGCAACGACCAGAGCAACAACUUGAGGAGUCUUUUGAGCAAUCUGAUGCUCUCUUCCAGGGGAAUAUGGGGAAGGGCAGAGCCGAGGCUGAGGCCAGGGAAGAGGACGUAGAGGAGGCCAAUACCAUCAGAAUAAUGGGGGAAAUCAUUUGGGGGCUCUUCUUUGAACAAUCUCACCAGUAAUGAGACUGCAAUUGUGGCGAAGCAGCCUCCGGGACCUCGCAUGCCAGAUGGAACAAGAGGAUUCGCGAUGGGUUGUGGGAAGCGAGUCUCAUCGGUCAAGACAUGAUAAAUCUAUUAGCGCCUAAAGAAGAUAAGAAAAAGUAUUCUCAAUAUCUUCUUCGCUUGUACAUUGAAGACAAUAGAAAGACCAAGUGGUGUCCUACCCCUGGCUGUGAAUACGCUGUAGAAUAUUUUGCUGGCAGUGAAGGUUACGAUGUUUCCUGCCAAUGCUCUUUCGACUUUUGCUGGAAUGUAAGCUUCUUUUUGGAAAUUUCUUGUAUCAAUAUGUAGCAAGUAGUGUGUUGACAUACUUUUGAUUUGAUCUACUGCA
Molecule: long non-coding RNA, 840 nt
Organism: Eucalyptus grandis
Lineage: Eukaryota; Viridiplantae; Streptophyta; Magnoliopsida; Myrtales; Myrtaceae
Exons: 6
Source: RefSeq, a predicted model, not a curated record